RNAcentral lists this ribosomal RNA (1467 nucleotides) under uncultured bacterium. Its description in RNAcentral is "16S ribosomal RNA". It matches the Rfam family "Bacterial small subunit ribosomal RNA". The record is from RNAcentral.
UUAGAGUUUGAUCCUGGCUCAGCCUGAACGCUGGCGGCGUGGCUAAGACAUGCAAGUCGUACGGGUGCAGCAAUGCACCAGUGGCGGACGGGUGAGUAAUGUAUCGCUAAUGUACCCCAGACUCUGGGAUAGCCGUGGGAAACCGCGGGUAAUACCAGAUGACAUAACCGAAUCGCAUGGUUUGGUUCUCAAAGGGCAACCGGUUUGGGAGCAGGCGAUAUCGUAUCAGCUAGUUGGUGGGGUAACGGCCUACCAAGGCGACGACGCGUAGCUGGUCUGAGAGGACGACCAGCCACAUUGGGACUGAGACACUGCCCAGACUCCUACGGGGGGCUGCAGUAACGAAUCUUCCGCAAUGCACGCAAGUGUGACGGAGCGACGCCGCGUGGAGGUUAAGUCCUUCGGGAUGUAAACUCCUGUCAGGGGUUACCAAGUUCUGAGGAGCCCCAGAGGAAGGCACGGCUAACUCUGUGCCAGCAGCCGCGGUAAUACAGAGGUGCCAAGCGUUAGGCGGAACCACUGGGCUUAAAGCGCGUGUAGGUGGAUGGGUAAGUACCUUGUGAAAUCCCACGGCUCAACCGUGGAACUGCUGGGUAUACUGCUUGUCUUGAGGCACUUAGGGGCAGCUGGAACAAAUGGUGGAGCGGUGAAAUGCGUAGAUAUCAUUUGGAACGCCAAAGGCGAAAGCAGGCUGCUGGGGAGUGAUCUGACACUGAGACGCGAAAGCCAGGGGAGCAAACGGGAUUAGAUACCCCGGUAGUCCUGGCCCUAAACGAUGUCCACUAGAUUGUGGCGGCUCUGACGCCGUCAUGGUCGAAGCAAAAGUGUUAAGUGGACCGCCUGGGAAGUACGGUCGCAAGGCUAAAACUCAAAGGAAUUGACGGGGGCUCACACAAGCGGUGGAGCAUGUGGUUUAAUUCGAAGCAACGCGCGGAACCUUACCUGGGCUUGACAUGCCUGGAUUAUCCCCAUGAAAGUGGGGUACAGCCCGCAAGGGCCGGAACAGGUACAGGUGCUGCAUGGCUGUCGUCAGCUCGUGUCGUGAGAUGUCGGGUUAAGUCCCUUAACGAGCGAAACCUUUGCCCUUAGUUACUAACGGGUUAUGCCGAGGACUCUAAGGGGACUGCCGGUGUCAAACCGGAGGAAGGUGGAGAUGACGUCAAGUCCUCAUGGCCUUUAUGCCCAGGGCUACACACGUGCUACAAUGGGAUGGACAGAGCGAACCGAGACCGCAAGGUGGAGGAAAUCGCAUAAAUCAUCCCUCAGUUCAGAUUGGAGGCUGCAACUCGCCUCCAUGAAGCUGGAAUCGCUAGUAAUCGCGUAUCAGCUACGACGCGGUGAAUAUGUUCCUGAGCCUUGUACACACCGCCCGUCAAGUCAUGGGAGCCGGAAAUAGCCGAAGUGGCCUCACUACAGAGGUCCCUACGCUAGGUUCGGUGACUGGGACUAAGUCGUAACAAGGUAACC